GUUGCAGGGUAUAGACCCGAAACCCGGUGAUCUAGCCAUGGGCAGGUUGAAGGUUGGGUAACACUAACUGGAGGACCGAACCGACUAAUGUUGAAAAAUUAGCGGAUGACCUGUGGCUGGGGGUGAAAGGCCAAUCAAACCGGGAGAUAGCUGGUUCUCCCCGAAAGCUAUUUAGGUAGCGCCUCGUGAAUUCAUCUCCGGGGGUAGAGCACUGUUUCGGCUAGGGGGCCAUCCCGGCUUACCAACCCGAUGCAAACUGCGAAUACCGGAGAAUGUUAUCACGGGAGACACACGGCGGGUGCUAACGUCCGUCGUGAAGAGGGAAACAACCCAGACCGCCAGCUAAGGUCCCAAAGUCAUGGUUAAGUGGGAAACGAUGUGGGAAGGCCCAGACAGCCAGGAUGUUGGCUUAGAAGCAGCCAUCAUUUAAAGAAAGCGUAAUAGCUCACUGGUCGAGUCGGCCUGCGCGGAAGAUGUAACGGGGCUAAACCAUGCACCGAAGCUGCGGCAGCGACGCUGAUGCGUUGUUGGGUAGGGGAGCGUUCUGUAAGCCUGCGAAGGUGUGUCGUGAGGCAUGCUGGAGGUAUCAGAAGUGCGAAUGCUGACAUAAGUAACGAUAAAGCGGGUGAAAAGCCCGCUCGCCGGAAGACCAAGGGUUCCUGUCCAACGUUAAUCGGGGCAGGGUGAGUCGACCCCUAAGGCGAGGCCGAAAGGCGUAGUCGAUGGGAAACGGGUUAAUAUUCCCGUACUUGGUGUUACUGCGAAGGGGGGACGGAGAAGGCUAUGUUGGCCGGGCGACGGUUGUCCCGGUUUAAGCGUGUAGGUGUGUGUUCCAGGUAAAUCCGGUUCACUUUAACACUGAGGCGUGAUGACGAGGCACUACGGUGCUGAAGCAACAAAUGCCCUGCUUCCAGGAAAAGCCUCUAAGCAUCAGGUAACAUCAAAUCGUACCCCAAACCGACACAGGUGGUCAGGUAGAGAAUACCAAGGCGCUUGAGAGAACUCGGGUGAAGGAACUAGGCAAAAUGGUGCCGUAACUUCGGGAGAAGGCACGCUGACACGUAGGUGAAGUGAUUUACUCAUGGAGCUGAAGUCAGUCGAAGAUACCAGCUGGCUGCAACUGUUUAUUAAAAACACAGCACUGUGCAAACACGAAAGUGGACGUAUACGGUGUGACGCCUGCCCGGUGCCGGAAGGUUAAUUGAUGGGGUCAGCGCAAGCGAAGCUCCUGAUCGAAGCCCCGGUAAACGGCGGCCGUAACUAUAACGGUCCUAAGGUAGCGAAAUUCCUUGUCGGGUAAGUUCCGACCUGCACGAAUGGCGUAAUGAUGGCCAGGCUGUCUCCACCCGAGACUCAGUGAAAUUGAACUCGCUGUGAAGAUGCAGUGUACCCGCGGCAAGACGGAAAGACCCCGUGAACCUUUACUAUAGCUUGACACUGAACAUUGAGCCUUGAUGUGUAGGAUAGGUGGGAGGCUUUGAAGUGUGGACGCCAGUCUGCAUGGAGCCGGCCUUGAAAUACCACCCUUUAAUGUUUGAUGUUCUAACGUGGACCCGUGAUCCGGGUUGCGGACAGUGUCUGGUGGGUAGUUUGACUGGGGCGGUCUCCUCCUAAAGAGUAACGGAGGAGCACGAAGGUUGGCUAAUCCUGGUCGGACAUCAGGAGGUUAGUGCAAUGGCAUAAGCCAGCUUGACUGCGAGCGUGACGGCGCGAGCAGGUGCGAAAGCAGGUCAUAGUGAUCCGGUGGUUCUGAAUGGAAGGGCCAUCGCUCAACGGAUAAAAGGUACUCCGGGGAUAACAGGCUGAUACCGCCCAAGAGUUCAUAUCGACGGCGGUGUUUGGCACCUCGAUGUCGGCUCAUCACAUCCUGGGGCUGAAGUAGGUCCCAAGGGUAUGGCUGUUCGCCAUUUAAAGUGGUACGCGAGCUGGGUUUAGAACGUCGUGAGACAGUUCGGUCCCUAUCUGCCGUGGGCGCUGGAGAACUGAGGGGGGCUGCUCCUAGUACGAGAGGACCGGAGUGGACGCAUCACUGGUGUUCGGGUUGUCAUGCCAAUGGCACUGCCCGGUAGCUAAAUGCGGAAGAGAUAAGUGCUGAAAGCAUCUAAGCACGAAACUUGCCCCGAGAUGAGUUCUCCCUGAGACUUAGAGUCUCCUGAAGGAACGUUGAAGACGACGACGUUGAUAGGCCGGGUGUGUAAGCGCAGCGAUGCGUUGAGCUAACCGGUACUAAUGAACCGUGAGGCUUAACCUU
Molecule: ribosomal RNA, 2251 nt
Filed under: Salmonella enterica
Lineage: Bacteria; Pseudomonadati; Pseudomonadota; Gammaproteobacteria; Enterobacterales; Enterobacteriaceae
Also listed under: 2 other names
Description: partial 23S ribosomal RNA
Rfam family: Bacterial large subunit ribosomal RNA
Source: RNAcentral